Papaver somniferum (opium poppy) is the source of this 2984-nucleotide RNA transcript. RefSeq lists it as uncharacterized. The record is from RefSeq and is a predicted model, not a curated record. Lineage: Eukaryota; Viridiplantae; Streptophyta; Magnoliopsida; Ranunculales; Papaveraceae. The transcript is spliced from 7 exons.
UGAAUAACAAAUAUUGCUUCCCUCUGCAUAUUUGGGGUUUACGGUUUUCAGUUCCGCUCAAAAUCGAUUGAUUCAACAGUUAACAAGGUUUAAGUAUUAGUUACUUGUUUCCAGUGGUUGGUUUGAAAUCGAUUUAGGUUUAUGAUUUUCGCAUUCCAGCACUUUUACAUUUGGGGUUUUUUAGUUGCAAAUUGGGGAUUUAGGUUUUCAGUUCUGCGCAAGAUUCAACCGUCCAAGACUUAACAAGCUUUAUUAGAGUUAUAACUAAAGGGAACUCAUCAUCUCAGCUUAGAGUUUUCUGGGGUUUUCAUUUCAAUUUGUGAAAGAUGAUAUUGAGAGAUGAACUCAUCAUCCAAGAGUUAACAAGACUUCAAUUUGUGAGUUUAGGGUUUAGGACUUGAAGAUCGGAUCAGCCAUUUCUGCACUCAAACAGUAGGUACUUCCUUUUUUCAUCUUUUACUUCUAGGUUUUUCAACUAUUGUGAAGAUGAAUGGUAGCGAUAUCGAAGGAUAUUGUUAAGCUUUGUUAGGGAUACUUAUACCAAGCUUGAGAUAAUUUCAUAUGAGUUUUAUGGCCAAUUGUUUUUCUGUAUGUGUAUAUUGGUUGAGAAUCUUCAAAUCAGAAACAUGAAAUUGUUUAGGUAGUGAAUGGUUUUCGGCAUUAAGAGUUUCUAAGAGGUUUCGGAAUUUUUGGGAGAUUUUUAUAGCAGCAAACAAGUGGUGUCCUUAUAAUAAUCUCUAGACUGUUUAAGGAUAAACAAGAUGUCACUCAGCAAUAUUCCAAGUUAAUCAUCUCAAGGUUACCAGUAAAAUCUGUAUUAGCAUGCAAAUGUGUGUGUAAGAGUUGGUUAAAAGUAGUUUAUUGCCUAAUUUCUGAUCCGGGUUUCGUGCAAAUGCAUCAUGAUUUUCAUAGAGAAAACUCUACUCGUCUCAUGCUUGGUAGUAUUGUUGGUGAAGACAUGAACGAUACUCUAAUACAUUCAGUUGGUUAUGACUCAUUAGCAUCCUUAUUACUGCGCGAAAUUGAAGAAGAAAAUAAUAAUAUUAAUGAUGUUGAAAUGCCUGAAAUUAAAGAUGAUAGUAAUGAUGUUGAAGUGGAUUAUUCUUCCUCAAGUGAGAAUUCAUCAUCAACAUUGACUGGGAUUGAUGGUUAUACUAGUCAAAUGGAUUAUCCAUUCAAAGAUUCCGGUCUUCCUGUGUAUUUAUUUGGUUCUUGUAAUGGUAUUCUCUGUUUAUGGUAUGACGGUCGGGAUGAUCAGGAUAACUUCUUUUGUCUUUGGAACCCAUCAACCAACGAAUACAAGAGAAUAUGUGAAGCGCCAAAAAGAUAUAGUUACAGUGACAUCACAUUGUAUGCUUUUGUUUAUGAUCCCACGGCUGACGAUUACAAGUUCUUGAUUGCUGAAAAUACUGAAAUGGAAUCUUUAGUCCGUCUCUAUUCGUUAGGAUCAGAUUCAUGGAGAAGAUUUCUCACACCUUAUACGUUCGUUUCGCCUCAAAAAUCUGGGUUACUUUUUAAUGGAGAUCUUCAUUGGCUCGCCCUGCAAACCCAUUAUACCAUAGUCUCUUUGGGUAUUACGAACGAGAUUUUCAAUGAAAUUCAACCACCGUCUGCAGGGUUGCAGCUUAUUCUUGUGGGGGUACUGGAAGAUUGCCUUUGUGUACUUGAUGAGGAUGAUGUUAUUGAUAUAUGGGCAAUGCAGGUUUAUGGAGAUCCAGAAUCAUGGACUAAACGUUAUACCAUUACCAAUGAGAUAAUAACUAGGAGAGUUCCUUGUCAUUGCACUAAUUUGAGGUUUAUGUGGUCCUUUAAAGAUGGUGUUAUUCUAUUCACAGAUGCACCUGACCUAGUUUUAUAUGAUCCAAAGUAUGGGAGUGCUAUCGUACCAAGAAUCUACCAUGUCUCGGCAGAGAAUUACUCAGAAAGUUUAGUUUCAUUAAACUCUGGUACCUAUGUUGGCAAAAGAACGGCAAAUAGUUCUUACACAGAGCUUGGGAAUCUUAAGCAUAGAAACUCAGUUCUUGAAGCACGUAUUACCGAACUUGAAGCAUAUAAUGCUGAACUACGGACAAAGCUUCAUGAGUCUCAAGUAGCUCAGAAAGAACUAGAGGAGAGUAAGAAAGACGAUGUAGAAGAAAUUGCUAUGACUAAGAAAAACGGUCGAAAGAGGAAGACGGAAUAUCAGUAUGAUACCAGGUGGGCCUCGAAAGCUGUUGCAUCCAUGUCAUCAACGGCGGGAGAAAUCACAAAUUUCGAAGACGAGAGUCUCACUGUACAGCAGAGAGCUGAGAAAGAGCAAGCUGAACUUGUUCUGUUGCAGACUGGUGGUACGCUGGAGCCUUACCAAAUCAAAGAGGGAUCUAAGACUCACUCCAGAUCCAAGGACACUUAUCAAACAAUGACCGUAAAGAUGCUGCGCGACCUUCUAAAAGAAAGAGGUUUGAUGGUGAAAGGAAAGAAGGAUGAGCUGAUUGCACGUCUCAGGGGCCUUUAAGAACCUUCCAGGACAUGCUUUCGAGGAUAUAGCAUCUUGGCAGAGGAAGUUAAUUCAAGAUCGAGUCCGUGCCUUAUGUGGUACCUGGUGCGUUAUUUAGUUCAUCACUUGUAUCUCAAAAUGCGUGAAAUUUGGAGCAUUCUUUUCAACUGAAUGAAAACAUUAGUCGUAUGGUUCGACUGACUUAUGCACUUCUGAUGAGGGAAACAUAUUCUCUACUGCGCCUGCAAGAUGCACACCACUUAGGUUCUAAUAUGUUUUUGCGCUCCCUAGGAAUGUAAUACAAAAACAUUGAAUCUAGGAUAUUUUACGAAGUAGCUUUUAUAAUAAUGGAACUUAUAGAUCAGUGCCUAGCAUUUCUGCUGAAGCAGAUGGCAGUGGCACAUUUGCCUUUGCUUCAUCCUCUUCAUGUGUUUCUUAGUUAAAGUUUGUUCUUGUUUUCAUUUUCUAUCUUAAUUCUGACAUGAUUGAGCCCAAUGGGCUGAUGUGA